AAGGAUCAUUAAUAGGCUUUGUCGAGUCUUGGAUUUUUCAUCCUUCGACUCGACAUCCUGAUCAUUCCUAUGUGCACUUAUCGAAGAAUGCUUUGGUAGGUCUAUUGACCUACCAAAAGUUUUUUCUAUCGCCUUCAUUUUUGUCUGAAAUAAAAAUUCUAAUGAAAUACAACUUUCAACAACGGAUCUCUUGGCUCUC
This 199-nucleotide unclassified non-coding RNA is filed under the name uncultured fungus. RNAcentral describes it as "partial contains 18S rRNA, ITS1, 5.8S rRNA, ITS2 and 28S rRNA". Lineage: Eukaryota; Fungi. The record is from RNAcentral.